RNAcentral lists this unclassified non-coding RNA (202 nucleotides) under Hevea brasiliensis (rubber tree). Lineage: Eukaryota; Viridiplantae; Streptophyta; Magnoliopsida; Malpighiales; Euphorbiaceae. The record is from RNAcentral.
AAGACUUGGGAGAAUUUCACUUUGGAAGUCCUUUCGCUGCUGCCUCCCUCUUCUUGUUUGGCCCCUCCUUGGCUGAAUUGGCAAUGAAGCUGGACAUGCCGCUUCUUCCUUUAGGACCCUGGUCUUACAAAAGUACGGUUCUGCCUUUGUCUCCUUAAGUUUUAAUGUCAUAGCCUCGAAGUAGUCAAUCCCAUCAGAAAGA